RNAcentral lists this ribosomal RNA (810 nucleotides) under Triticum aestivum (bread wheat). RNAcentral's name for it is "partial small subunit ribosomal RNA". The record is from RNAcentral. Lineage: Eukaryota; Viridiplantae; Streptophyta; Magnoliopsida; Poales; Poaceae.
AUGGCGGAGGAACCGUCCACCAAGCGUCAUCAUGCCGAGACGUCGGACAAGAGGAGCAACCUCGUCGACAUUAACACGUCGGACAAGAGGAGCAACCUCGUUGACAUUAACGUCCCCGGCGAGAAGCGCGAGUACACCAGAACGCUCAAAGGGGUUGAGCUCCACGGCAAGGAGAUGCUGGAGAUCGUCUGCACCAGCGAACCAGACAAGGCCGACGAGAUGAUGAGCAGGCUCAGGAUGAAGGGAGGCGGCUUGUAUCCGAGCUUCAUCGGAGUUGAUGUGGAGUACACCGACGAGGAAAAACCUCCACAGAUGGCGGCAGUCCUGCAGUUGUGCGUCGAGGAACUCUGCUUGGUGUACUACAUCGCAGCGGCCACAAAAUGGCCCAAGCGCCUCAAAGACUUCCUGCGGGAGGAGAAAUUGUACACAUUUGUUGGUUUCAGCAUUGGAGGUGACAAGCGGAUGCUGGAGGAGUCUGGUUUGGAAAUCAACCCCAACAACUUCAUCGACAUGCAGCGCAAGUGGAAAGAUCCAAAGACCAACAAAUACUACGACUCCUUGGUCAAUGUUGCAGGCGGUGUCAUCCAUCCAUUAUACGAAGGCAUGAAGAAGAAGAUGAACAGGGCACACCACAAACUGUGGGGGAACAGCCCGCUGCCAGACAACCUCAUCACGUACGCACGAAUAGAUGCGUACGCAACAUACAAGUCAUGGAAGACAAUCGACAACAUCGUGACAUGUUGGGAUAUUUCAAAAGAGCAGGAGGCUGACCCCUACUACCAUUGCAACUUCGCGGAUGAAGAUGCAUGA